GAUGAACGCUGGCGGCGUGCCUAAUACAUGCAAGUCGAGCGAACAGACGAGGAGCUUGCUCCUCUGAUGUUCGCGGCGGACGGGUGAGUAACACGUGGAUAACCUACCUAUAAGACUGGGAUAACUUCGGGAAACCGGAGCUAAUACCGGAUAACAUGUUGAACCGCAUGGUUCAACAGUGAAAGACGGUCUUGCUGUCACUUAUAGAUGGAUCCGCGCCGCAUUAGCUAGUUGGUAAGGUAACGGCUUACCAAGGCAACGAUGCGUAGCCGACCUGAGAGGGUGAUCGGCCACACUGGAACUGAGACACGGUCCAGACUCCUACGGGAGGCAGCAGUAGGGAAUCUUCCGCAAUGGGCGAAAGCCUGACGGAGCAACGCCGCGUGAGUGAAGAAGGUCUUCGGAUCGUAAAACUCUGUUAUUAGGGAAGAACAAAUGUGUAAGUAACUAUGCACGUCUUGACGGUACCUAAUCAGAAAGCCACGGCUAACUACGUG
RNAcentral lists this ribosomal RNA (497 nucleotides) under uncultured bacterium. RNAcentral describes it as "partial 16S ribosomal RNA". It matches the Rfam family "Bacterial small subunit ribosomal RNA", at positions 28 to 507 of the family's 1533-position model. The record is from RNAcentral.